CUAAGGUGAGUCGUAAGGCGAGCUGGACAGUAUACGAGAGAGAAUGUUGGCAUGAGUAGCGAAAGGCCGGUGAGAAUCCGGUCCACCGAAAAUCUAAGGUUUCCUGAGGAAGGUUCGUCCACUCAGGGUAAGUCGGGACCUAAGCCGAGGACGAAAGUCGUAGGCGAUGGACAACUGGUUGAGAUUCCAGUACCACCGAAAGUCAUUUGAGCGAAGUGGGGACACAGAAGGAUAAGCAGAGCACGCCGCUGGUAGAGCGUGUCCAAGCAGAGAGGCUGAUAUCCAGGCAAAUCCGGAUAUUGAAAGGCUGAUCUGUGACGGGGAGGGAAAAGAAGUACCGGAAGCUGCUGAUUUCACACUGUCAAGAAAAGCCGCUAGCGAGACUGUAGGUGCCCGUACCGCAAACCGACACAGGUAGAUGAGGAGAGAAUCCUAAGGUGAGCGAGAGAACUAUUGUUAAGGAACUCGGCAAAAUGACCCCGUAACUUCGGGAGAAGGGGUGCCAUCGAAAGAUGGCCGCAGUGAAAAGGCCCAGGCGACUGUUUACCAAAAACACAGGUCUCUGCUAAAGCGAAAGCUGAAGUAUAGGGGCUGACGCCUGCCCGGUGCUGGAAGGUUAAGGGGACUGCUUAGAGCGAUCGAAGGCAUGAACUUAAGCCCCAGUAAACGGCGGCCGUAACAAUAACGGCCCUAAGGUAGCGAAAUUCCUUGUCAGGUAAGUUCUGACCCGCACGAAAGGCGUAACGAUCUGGGCACUGUCUCAACAAUAGACUCGGUGAAAUUGUAGUACCGGUAAAGAUGCCGGUUACCCGCAGCAGGACGGAAAGACCCCAUGGAGCUUUACUGCAGCUUGAUAUUGGAAUUCGGCAUUGCAUGUACAGGUUAGGUGGGAGACUGAGAGAAGAGUACGCCAGUAUUCUUGGAGUCACCGUUGGGAUACCACCCUUGUAAUGUUGAGUUUCUAACGACGUGCCGUGAACCGGCACUCGGACAGUGUCUGGCGGGCAGUUUGACUGGGGCGGUCGCCUCCUAAAGAGUAACGGAGGCGCCCAAAGGUUCCCUCAGUGCGGACGGAAAUCGCACGAAGAGUGUAAAGGCAGAAGGGAGCUUGACUGCGAGACAAACAGGUCGAGCAGGGACGAAAGUCGGGCUUAGUGAUCCGGUGGUACCGAGUGGAAGGGCCAUCGCUCAACGGAUAAAAGCUACCCUGGGGAUAACAGGCUGAUACCCCCCAAGAGUCCACAUCGACGGGGGUGUUUGGCACCUCGAUGUCGGCUCGUCCCAUCCUGGGGCUGAAGUAGGUCCCAAGGGUUGGGCUGUUCGCCCAUUAAAGAGGUACGCGAGCUGGGUUCAGAACGUCGUGAGACAGUUCGGUCCCUAUCCGCUGUGGGCGUUGGAGAUUUGAGUGGAGCUGUUCUUAGUACGAGAGGACCGGGAUGGACGUAGCUCUGGUGCACCAGUUGUACUGCCAAGUGCAUAGCUGGGUAGCCACCUACGGACGGGAUAAGCGCUGAAAGCAUCUAAGUGCGAAGCCCCCCACAAGAAAAGAUCUCCUCCAGAAAUGGUAAGACCCGUGAGAGACUAUCACGUAGAUAGGCCUCAGGUGUAAGUGCAGUAAUGUAUUAAGCUGAGAGGUACUAAUAGGUCGAACACUUGAUC
This 1659-nucleotide ribosomal RNA is filed under the name metagenome. RNAcentral's name for it is "bacterial LSU rRNA". It matches the Rfam family "Bacterial large subunit ribosomal RNA", at positions 1251 to 2925 of the family's 2925-position model. The record is from RNAcentral.